This 629-nucleotide ribosomal RNA is filed under the name uncultured archaeon. RNAcentral's name for it is "bacterial SSU rRNA". It matches the Rfam family "Archaeal small subunit ribosomal RNA", at positions 147 to 776 of the family's 1478-position model. The record is from RNAcentral.
UAAUACUCCAUAGAUUAGAGACACUGGAAUGUUCUUUAGUCGAAAGUUCUGGCGCCUUAGGAUGAAUCUGCGGUCGAUUAGGUUGUUUGUUGGGGUAACGGCCCAACAAGCCUGUAAUCGAUACGGGUUGUGGGAGCAAGAGCCCGGAGAUGGAAUCUGAGACACGAUUCCAGGCCCUACGGGGCGCAGCAGGCGCGAAAACUUUACAAUGCAGGAAACUGUGAUAAGGGAACUCCGAGUGCCCGGUAUACGCGGGCUGUCCAGGUGUUUAAAAUCAUCUGAAGAAAGGGCCGGGCAAGACCGGUGCCAGCCGCCGCGGUAAUACCGGCGGCUCGAGUGGUGGCCACUAUUAUUUGGGCUUAAAGCGUCCGUAGCUGGACCCGAUAAGUCUUCUUGGGAAAUCCGCCGGCUUCAACCGGCGGGCGUUUAAGGGAUACUGUUAGUUUAGGGACCGGGAGAGGUGAGAGGUACUCCGGGGGUAGGAGUGAAAUCCUGUAAUCCCCGGGGGACCACCGAUGGCGAAGGCAUCUCACCAGAACGGCUCCGACAGUGAGGGACGAAAGCUGGGGGAGCGAACCGGAUUAGAUACCCGGGUAGUCCCAGCCGUAGACUAUGCGCGUUAGGUGUAC